ACCCAUGGCAUAUGAAAGUUCCCAGGUUACAGGUAGAACCGGAGCUGUAGUGCCAGCCUAUGCCACAGCCACGCCAGAUCCAAGCUUCAUCUGCAACCUACACCACAGCUCAUGGCAAUGCCAGAUCCUUAUUGCCAUGAGUGAGUCCAGGGAUCAAACACAUAUCCUCAUGGAUACUAGUUGGGUUCAUUACCACUGAGCCACAAUGGGAACUCCUCAUAACCAUUUCUGAACACAAAGUAAAGCAUAAUCUUCCAAACCCACAAAAUCGAUGAUCUCCCUAUCCUUGUCGAUACGAAGAACUGCUACUUCUUAGCCAAAUAUGGUGGAGUUUCACCCUAGUCUUCCCCACUUUUAGAUUAGGAAUUACCGAAAUAACCAACUAUAAGGGAAAAAAUAAAAAUCAUUUAAAAAAUUAAAUAAAAACCUGAGAAAAUCGGAAUGAAAAAGAAUAAAUAUAAAAAAAAAAAGAAACUGGGGUAAGGUCAAUCAAAAAGUUAAAUUCCUGAUGGAAUGGGCUAUAAAUUUGGCUCUAGCUCUAAACGUUUUCUCAAAUGAUCUCACGUGAGCCCCAAUCUUUAACCCCUUCUUACUGAGAUGUUAAACCUGCAGCAUAUGGAAAUUCCCAGGUUAGGGGUCGAAUCGGAGCUACAGCUGCUGACCUACAUCACAGCCACAGCAACGCAAGAUCUGAGCUGCUUCUGUGACCUACACCAUAGCUCAGAGCAACACCAGAUGCCCAACCCACCAACUGAGGCCCACAUCCUCACGGAUACUAGUCAGAUUCAUUUCAGCUUCUCCACAACAGAAACUCCUUAUCUCCAUUCUCUUACGCAGACAUAAAAAGCCUUAGACAUCAACAUAGUUGACAUUCCCUUCUACUUUCCACUAACUGAGGCAAAAUAUUAAAAUAAAAAAAGCAAAGAAGUCAAUUACUUUAAACUCCUAAAAUGGGAAUUGAAGAGUAAAAAAAGUUCAGAAUGAGUUUUAAACUCAUACUAAAGUUAUGUUCUAAAGUCUGACUUAAAGAAAGCUACGUUAAGAGGGAAAGUGUAUAUAUGUUUAAUUUUGACUUUAGUAAUAUUUGAUGCAUUAUAAUUCUCAAAAGACAUACAGCAGCAGCACCACAUAAAUUAUGAAAUACAGGCUUUAUUGGGCAAACAAUUUAUUCCAAUCAGGGAAAUAAUAAUGCCUUACAUCAAUCGCAUACUGAUCAUCUGCUAGGUCUUACAUCUGUCAUCUGAAUCAAUCUUCAAAUUCACCCUUUGAAUUAGAAGGUAAAAUUACCUCCACUUUAAUGGUUAGGAUACUAGGGCUGUGACAGGAUAAGAAACUUGUUUGAAAUUACAUAGUGUGAUUGUAGAGGUGAAGUACAAACCCACAGAAUCCUAUUCCAGAAGCCACAUGCUAAAACUUUACAAAUCACUUCCACAGUACCCAAAGGCUCGUAGUUCUUCUAGUAGCAUCACUCAUCUCUACACACAAUGGACCCUGUGUAUAAUCAUAUAGGUUUCAAAACUUUAGAAAAACAGCUGUGCUGAAAACUCUAAGACGUCUCCAAAUGAGGAAGAAACUGCUUGGAAAGUCUGACAACUCAAUGGCUACUGUCCUCACCUCUGCAUCAUUGAUUAUAAUCUCAUUAAAGACAUUUGGAGUCAAGAUAAAUUUAAGUCAUACAGCACAGUGUCAUCAAAAGAUCAUUGGAAAAGUGAUGUCGGGACACAAGAUUUAUCAUCCUGGCUCCGUUAAAGUCCUUGCUCAAGUAACGUCCACCCUUUUAGACAUGAACAAAUUAGAGGUUAAAUGCCAAAAUAUAGAAACAUUUAAAUUCAAAUUUGAAGCUAAGAAUCAAUGUAAUGUGCAACUCUGAAGCUUUAUUUUCAAUAAUUAUGUCAUUAUAGUGGAGAGUAUUUUUUAUAAUAUGGUAAGUUCUAAGCCAGGAAAAUGAAUUAAAAAUUAAAAAAAAAACCCAAUUCACUAAAGACUACUACUUAUUUUAAACAUGCGGAAUCAAUGCCUUUUAAACAGGUCUUGCUUGUAACAAGGACUGGCUGCUUAUUCCUACAAUAUGCAGCAGGUGUAACUGCACAAAUAUAUGCUUCAAAAGCAGAUAGAAAUAUAUGUUUCCAUUUAGCGGUUAAAAUAGGUUUAUUUAAAGUCCUUUUAAGAGUUGAACACUGUUCUAGACACUAGUGGUCUAGAAAAACUCAACUGGAAAAUAGUUUAAUAUCUAUGAGUGAAAACUUACAGAAAGUGAUAGAGAAAAUCAUGCCUAACUUAUAGAGUCUACCUUUUUAAUAUAUGGUUACAUCUCAUCUUUAAGUCCAAGCGUCAUUCAAAGCACACUGACCACAUCCACGUAUCAUUAUCUCUGACCUUAUGGAAUCAUAAGGUAUAUUCCUUUUGGUUCUCUACCUACUACAGCUAAUAAAUUUAAUUUCGCAAAAGGUUUAAGGCAAAAUGGCAGAAAAUAAUACUGUACUUAAGUAAAGCAAAUUGUCUGGAGACUGCAUUGGCAAACUCUUCAUCAUGAGUCUUAAAAUGUUUCUAGAAUUCUACACCUUUACAGCUUUCCUGGAUUUUUCAUGGGCCAUGGAUUUUCUCAUAUGCUGAACUAAGAAUUUAAAAGAAACUAUGUCUUACUAGGUUUGUAAAGCUUUAAAUAGGCUCAGUUUAAUUUGAUAAAGUAGGCAAAGGUAGUUAUAUCAACAGAUAUUCUAUGGUUCAUUACAUUACCCUGGGUAGAAAUAGGCUGGUUUUA
Molecule: long non-coding RNA, 2761 nt
Filed under: Sus scrofa (pig)
Lineage: Eukaryota; Metazoa; Chordata; Mammalia; Artiodactyla; Suidae
Description: lncRNA (ENSSSCG00050033322.1)
Source: RNAcentral